AACGUCGGAACAGACCAAGGCUGU
This 24-nucleotide non-coding RNA is filed under the name Cricetulus griseus (Chinese hamster). Lineage: Eukaryota; Metazoa; Chordata; Mammalia; Rodentia; Cricetidae. The record is from RNAcentral.